AUACGGAGGAUCCGAGCGUCAUCCGGAUUUAUUGGGUUUAAAGGGAGCGUAGGUGGAUUGUUAAGUCAGUUGUGAAAGUUUGCGGCUCAACCGUAAAAUUGCAGUUGAAACUGGCAGUCUUGAGUACAGUAGAGGUGGGCGGAAUUCGUGGUGUAGCGGUGAAAUGCUUAGAUAUCACGAAGAACUCCGAUUGCGAAGGCAGCUCACUGGACUGCAACUGACACUGAUGCUCGAAAGUGUGGGUAUCAAACAGGAUUAGAUACCCUGGUAGUCCACACAGUAAACGAUGAAUACUCGCUGUUUGCGAUAUACAGUAAGCGGCCAAGCGAAAGCAUUAAGUAUUCCACCUGGGGAGUACGUUCGCAAGAAUGAAACUCAAAGGAAUUGACGGGG
This 393-nucleotide ribosomal RNA is filed under the name uncultured bacterium. RNAcentral's name for it is "partial 16S ribosomal RNA". It matches the Rfam family "Bacterial small subunit ribosomal RNA", at positions 523 to 918 of the family's 1533-position model. The record is from RNAcentral.